GCAUUUGACCGCUCCUCCCUCCGCGUUGGAGGCGGAAUAGUGGGUUUUGCUGCAACCGGUUUAUUUUCCUUCUGUUUUCACCCAUUCUGGCACAAUCUGGCGCCAUCGUCCUUCUUGUGAGGCCAAGCCUGAAAAUGCGAAGCAGAGAGGCAGGACCAAAAUUGAGGCGAAUCCAGGAACCUGCCAAUGGGUCUCCGGGUGCGGUCUCUGAAACUGGAGGAUAUCGGGAGGAAAGGCUCUCCGAUGCGGAGAUAAUGGGGAAGCUCUUGGCAUGGUUGGCUGUAGGUAUGUGAUACCGGAGGAGCAGGAGUCAAAUAGGAUACGCCGACUUUUAAUUCAAGGAACCCUUUUCUGAAACACUUUGCCACAAUGAAGGAAAUAAGAUUACAGCCGAAGAUACAUAUUAAGGAAUUGUACUCUCAGAGAUGUUGAGAAAAGAUACAUGGGUCUUGGAAGAUAAUUACUCAAAAUAUGCAGGGAAGGAUCUAGUUUGAAGCACUAAGAAGAAUAAGACAUCAGUUUGAAAAGAGGCUCUAUCAGAACAACACGAAUUCUGCUAAAAUUGAAGCAAGAACAAACAUCAAAUAUAUGUUGACACUUGGGUGGAAGAAUGGUGAACUAAUUGAUGCUUUAUGAAAAGUUGAUAGGGACAGUGCUCCAAAGAAAUCAGUUUACAAAUGGAUAACUCGUUUUAAGAAGGCAUAAGGUAAUGUUGAAGAAGAAGCCCACAGUGGCAGAUCAUCCACAUCAGUUUGUGAGAAAAAAGUUAGUUCAUGGCGUAAUUGAAGAAAACCAACAAUUAACAGCAGAAACAACAGCCAACACCAUAGACAUCUCAGUUGGUUCACCUUACACAAUUUUGACUGGAAAAGUUCAGCAAACUUUAUACCUGAUAGGUACCAAAACCAUUGCACCCAGAUCAGCUACAGACAAGAAUAGAGCUUUCAAUGGAAAUUUUAAAUAAGUGGGAUCAGGAUCUUGAAGCCUUUCAUUGAAAAAUUGUAACAGGAGAUGAAACAUGGCUUUACCAGCGCAAUCCUGAAGACAAAACACAAAGCAGUGGUUACCAAGAUAAGUAGUUCAGUUAAAGCACAAGAGGACUGGUUGAGAGCAAAGGUCAUGGCAACAGCUUUUGAAUGCUCAAGGCAUUUUGCUUGUUGACUUUCUGUAGGGCCAAAGAAUGGUAACGUGCUUAUCAUGGGAGUGUUUUGAGAAACUUAGCCAAAGCUUCAGCAGAAAAAUCCCCGAGAAAGACCAGAGAGUUCUUCACCACAACAAUGUUCCUGCUCAUCCCUCUCAUCAAACAAGGCCAUUUUGCAAGAGUUUUGAUGGGAAAUCACUAGGCAUCCACCCUACAGUCCUGGUUUGGCACCUUCUGACUUUUUGUUUCCUAAUCUUAAAAAAAUUUUUCAGGGCAGUACAUUUUUCUCAAGUUAAUGUAUAAAGAAACUGCAUUGAUGUAGAUAAAUUCCCAGAACUCUCAGUUCUUUAGGGAUGGACUAAAUAGCUGGUAUCAUCACUUACAAAAGUGUCUUGAAUGCUAUAGAGCUAAUGUUCAAAAAUAUAGUUUAUAUUUUUUAUCUUUUAACCAUUUUUCCACAAACUUUUUGAAGUCUCCUUGAAUAUGUACCAUUUAUAAAGGGGAAAAAUUCUGUGACUACUCAUGUUGACUUAAUGCUGACUUAAUUUUCUGUUUUGUAAAUAUAUACAAACAAGUUGAUACAAAUUUUGUUUAUAGCCCUUAAACAAAUUUGUGAAAUAAAUGCAUUCAGAAACAAACUAAAA
RNAcentral lists this long non-coding RNA (1785 nucleotides) under Homo sapiens (human). Its description in RNAcentral is "non-protein coding THAP9-AS1:28". Lineage: Eukaryota; Metazoa; Chordata; Mammalia; Primates; Hominidae. The record is from RNAcentral.